RNAcentral lists this ribosomal RNA (721 nucleotides) under Sulfitobacter sp. SC26. RNAcentral's name for it is "partial 16S ribosomal RNA". It matches the Rfam family "Bacterial small subunit ribosomal RNA", at positions 61 to 773 of the family's 1533-position model. The record is from RNAcentral. Lineage: Bacteria; Pseudomonadati; Pseudomonadota; Alphaproteobacteria; Rhodobacterales; Roseobacteraceae.
GUCGAGCGGUACAGGAAUUAGCUUGCUAAUUUGCUGACGAGCGGCGGACGGGUGAGUAACGCGUAGGAAUCUGCCUAGUAGUGGGGGACAACAUGUGGAAACGCAUGCUAAUACCGCAUACGCCCUACGGGGGAAAGGAGGGGAUCUUCGGACCUUUCGCUAUUAGAUGAGCCUGCGUAAGAUUAGCUAGUUGGUGGGGUAAAGGCUCACCAAGGCGACGAUCUUUAGCUGGUCUGAGAGGAUGAUCAGCCACACUGGGACUGAGACACGGCCCAGACUCCUACGGGAGGCAGCAGUGGGGAAUAUUGGACAAUGGGCGCAAGCCUGAUCCAGCCAUGCCGCGUGUGUGAAGAAGGCCUUCGGGUUGUAAAGCACUUUCAGAAGUGAGGAAGGGUGAUUGGCUAAUAUCCAAUUAUCUUGACGUUAGCUUCAGAAGAAGCACCGGCUAACUCUGUGCCAGCAGCCGCGGUAAUACAGAGGGUGCGAGCGUUAAUCGGAAUUACUGGGCGUAAAGCGCGCGUAGGUGGUUUGUUAAGUCGGAUGUGAAAGCCCAGGGCUCAACCUUGGAAUUGCACCCGAUACUGGCAGGCUAGAGUACGGUAGAGGGGUGUGGAAUUUCCUGUGUAGCGGUGAAAUGCGUAGAUAUAGNNNNGNACAUCAGUGGCNAANNNGANACCCUGNNNCGAUACUGACNNUGNNNGCGAAAGCGUGGGGAGCAAAC